RNAcentral lists this ribosomal RNA (549 nucleotides) under uncultured bacterium. Its description in RNAcentral is "bacterial SSU rRNA". It matches the Rfam family "Bacterial small subunit ribosomal RNA", at positions 28 to 669 of the family's 1533-position model. The record is from RNAcentral.
GAUGAACGCUAGCGGCAGGCUUAACACAUGCAAGUCGAGGGACCGGCGGAAGGGUGCGUAACGCGUGAGCGACAUGCCCGUUGCCCGGGGACAACCGGUGGAAACGCCGACUAAUCCCCGAUGGCGACGGAUUGGCUCGCGUCCGAUUAGCUUGUUGGCGGGGUAACGGCCCACCAAGGCUACGAUCGGUAGGGGUUCUGAGAGGAAGGCCCCCCACAAUGGGACUGAGACACGGCCCAUACUCCUACGGGAGGCAGCAGUGAGGAAUAUUGGUCAAUGGACGAGAGUCUGAACCAGCCAAGUAGCGUGCAGGAUGACGGCCUAUGGGUUGUAAACUGCUUUUGCGCGGGGAUAGGUACCGCGCGAAUAAGGACCGGCUAAUUCCGUGCCAGCAGCCGCGGUAAUACGGAAGGUCCGGGCGUUAUCCGGAUUUAUUGGGUUUAAAGGGAGCGUAGCCGUGAGGUAAGCGUGUUGUGAAAUGUAGGCGCCCAACGUCUGCACUGCAGCGCGAACUGCCCCACUUGAGUGCGCGCAACGCCGGCGGAACUC